CCCUUAGAUGUCCGGGGCCGCACGCGCGCUACACUGAAGGAAUCAGCGUGGCUUUCUCCCUGACCCGAAAGGGUUGGGAAACCCGUUGAAUCUCCUUCGUGAUAGGGAUUGGGGCUUGAAAUUGUUCCCCAUGAACGAGGAAUUCCCAGUAAGCGCGAGUCAUAAGCUCGCGUUGAUUACGUCCCUGCCCUUUGUACACACCGCCCGUCGCACCUACCGAUUGAAUGACUCGGUGAAAAAUUGGGACCGUGAGUCUGUUUGCUUCAUUGCGAGUGGAUUGAUGGGAACUUUUUUAAACCUCGCCAUUUAGAGGAAGGUGAAGUCGUAACA
Molecule: ribosomal RNA, 330 nt
Filed under: uncultured eukaryote
Lineage: Eukaryota
Description: partial 18S ribosomal RNA
Rfam family: Eukaryotic small subunit ribosomal RNA
Source: RNAcentral